Setaria italica (foxtail millet) is the source of this 2585-nucleotide long non-coding RNA. RefSeq lists it as uncharacterized. The record is from RefSeq and is a predicted model, not a curated record. NCBI's taxonomy places the organism in Eukaryota, Viridiplantae, Streptophyta, Magnoliopsida, Poales, Poaceae. The transcript is spliced from 4 exons.
CUGAGCGAGUGGAGUCUCAGCUGAACCCCUCGCCGCCGUCCACCCACGGCCGACCUCCUCGCCACCGCGGCCUCGGCCGCCACCCCUCGUCGUCGACCCACACCCUACGUCUGUGUGCCCUCCAUUUCUGCUACUUCUUCGUUCAGCUGCCUCUGGUUCGCUGGUAAAUUCAUGAAUAUUUUUUUUGCUUCGGAGACCUUCAUUUCGUGCCUAGAUGUACUUGCUGGAGCAGAAGUCCAGUCCUCUCGUUUCUUCUUGAAAUGACUCCAAAGUUUGCAGUUCAGACUCAAAACAGUUUUUGCAGUUCAAGUUCGUUUCCAUUCACCCAGUCCUGCAGUCCACCCAACCAGCCAGCUUGUACUCGGUUGUUUGCAAUUGGGUGUUGACAGUAUCUGAAAAGGUCCAAUUUGUGUGCUCCAUUCAUGUUGAAUCUUGUCACUGUGCACCUUUGACGAGUUGUCAGAACUCAACAUGAUGGUGUAGUACACAGCUGCAUUUAGCUUGUGCUGACUAUUGACACUUGACAGUGCAUUACUUGUUCCUGCAACCAUGGAAUGGUGUUUGGUAUAAGCUGUUUUCCCCCUCACAAUUAAUUUUUUGCAGCUCGCUAAUGUGGUGAGAACGUGCAGAUGAUCCUUGACAUUAUCGGUAUCAGAACAACAGCAAUCUGGGUGAACGGGGACAAUGAUCUAUUUUUUGAGGAAAUGCACAAUGAUCUAUAAGAAUGGCAAUGAGUUUCAGUAGUUGAUAUGGGAUGGAAAUGCUGAUUUUAACUUGAUAUCCUGGCGAUUAUGGUCUGUUAGCAAUCAGUAGUUGCAUUGUAAUAGUAAUAGGUCAUGCCUUCAUUCAUUUCUACGGUCACUUGUAUUAGAGGGAAAUGUUAGGACAUUGCUGAUGUAAUAUAUGUCAGUUGAUGUUGUGAUAAUGUUGAGACUUGAGAGCAUUCUCCAUUCUUAGGCAUAGAUCUUUUCAAAUACAAUGAGCAUUUAACUGUUUUAGAUCUUCAGUUUUGUACUAAUGGACUCCGGAGCAUAUGGUGUAAAUUAAACUUCAUUUUUUUUCUUGAACAAUGUUAAAAUAUGCCCUCUUUCUUUUCUGUUUUACCAUGUCUCGAACAACCUGAUUUUUAAUAUGUGUUGUAUAUACUUUUGUGGUGCAAUAGGUCCAUAAUUCGUACAAUCCAAUUGAUUAGUAUAGUCGAUAUGUGGAGAGCCACUUCUCAAUGUACUAAUCCCUAAAUUUAAACCUUUUUUUAGUAUCAGUUUUUAGUUAUUUGUUAUGAUAGUUUAAUUGUGGUAAAAUCCAGUAGCCCAAACUGAAGUACAAUUAGUCUGCAUUUGUCCAUUAGUUAAAAUUGAUUCCUUAUUUUACAGGGAAGUGUGGAAUGGGAGCACAAGAGCAAAGUUACUGGAAAGAUGCAUGGAUGUGGCCAUUAUGCAAAUUUUGCUAUGUUGUUAGGAUCUGCCAAGAUUCUUCAGGAGCAUCAUGAUGAGUUGAAGGGUACAGUAGUCCUGGUCUUCCAACCAGCCAAGGAAGGCGGCGGCAGGGCCUAUUAAAUGAUAGAAGCUGGAGCUGUGGAAAACAUACGUGCCAUUUUUGGGGUUCAGCUAACUCUGUUCCUAUAGAUGUUCUGGAUUCCUUGCCAGGGCCUAUUAUGGCCAGAGGUGGAGUCUUUGAGGCCAUAAUAAGUGGAAAAGAAGGGCAUGCUGCACUCCCUUAUCACACUUUAGAUUGAUUGGCUGCCUCUACUGUUAUUGUGAGCCUUCAGCAACUUGUUUCGGGGGAAGCUAUUCCCUUGGACUCACAGGCUAUAACAGUUGGGAAAUUCAAGGAAGUGGGGCCUUCAAUGUGAUUCCUGAUUCAGUACCUUACGAACCUUUUUGAAAGAGAGUAUUAAUCAAUUGAAGCAGCAAAUUGAAGAGAAUAUGCCAGAGAUCAAACUCCGUAUCCCUAGCACAAAAGAUGGAUGAUGGAUUGCUUCAUUGACAUUGCGGAUUCUCCGUGUCUUCUCUUGUUUCUUGCCAUCAAGAGAGUCCACAUGCCACAAAGAAUGUUAGUUCCUUGGUCUGAAUCUAUGUGGCACUCGUGUAAAAUUUGGCGUGCAGGUAAAAAUCCAUGAUUGACUCAGCCACCAGAAGACCUUUACCUUUGGAGGUCAUCCUCUUCAUGCUAUUGGUGUUCAGAGUCCAGUAACCGGUGUGCUGAUUGCACGAGUAGUUGCAAUGGCUUUCCAUCGACUACGCCCAAAAAUCAUUCUCUGCACUCCCCAAAGAACACACGAUUGCAUCAGCAUCCAUAUGUGAAAAUACAUCACGGAUUACUCUUCAUUCCGCUGGCCGCUGGCAGUAAUAAUAUCAGAAAGCAAGCGAACUGGUUGAUCAUCGGGUAAGGUGAUAUGUCUACCAGCGUUUUGAACCGGUAUGUUGAGUGAGAAUGAUUCUCCACAGGCUCUGAGAGAGAACACAGUACUCUUGAAAACGGCAGCUUCAACUUGCUUUUUAGUUGGUGGCCAUGGACAUGAGAUGCUUAGAAUAACUUCAAAAGUUUUAGGAUGUCGGCCAUCUUAACAGCCGUAAGCCAUUCAA